RNAcentral lists this long non-coding RNA (2568 nucleotides) under Panax ginseng (ginseng). RNAcentral's name for it is "long non-coding RNA (PGIN_LNC004747)". Lineage: Eukaryota; Viridiplantae; Streptophyta; Magnoliopsida; Apiales; Araliaceae. The record is from RNAcentral.
CCAAAUCCCAAAUUGCGCCUCCGUCCUAUCCGUGUCUCCCUUCCUUUCGACGUCCUUCAUGUUCUAACCCUAAUUUUUAUUUCUUUUGAAUUUCUCAAUCCAAUAAGAUAUUCAAAAGCUGUGACAACCGUGACAGAGGAGAUUCAAGUUUAGGGAAGUAAGUCCUUGUUGCGGUUAAUUUGCUUCAUUUUCACUGAAUAAAGCGGUAGAUUUGGCUCGGGUUAAAGCCGAAUGGAGAGCUAAAGAAGUUAUUCUAGCCAGGGAGAGAGCUAAGGAUGCGUUGGAGCGAUUUUUUGCCCUGACCUCCAAGAUUGAUGAAUUGAUUGACACAUCCAAAAUUGAACAUUUGGCAAAACAAUUAACUCAAACUUGCCAAAUUGGGGAUGCAGAAGGACAAAAGGAUGAUGAUGAUCUAUUGCAUAAUGGUCUGCACUCUUUGUGAGUUAAUAUACUCUUUAUUUUUUUAUGUUAUGUGGAAUGGCUUGAACUUUAAGAAUUUAUGUAGAUUAUAUGGUCAGAAUUUUCAGUUCUAGUAUUGACCAGUUAAUUUGUAUUUGUAGUAUUGACCAAUUGAUUUGUAUUUGUGAUACUAUAGCUCGAUUUGUAAUUUAUGAGUUCAGUUUCAAUUUUUAACACAAAUCAGCAACACAAUUGACAUCAGAAUCACAAUGAAUGUGAUUGGUACAGUCGUCCUGGUCGUUGGCCACAGGAGAAUGGCAACGACUUGCUAAAACUCGUCUUUCAAUCUCUAUAAUCAUCCUCUCUAAUAAGCAGGCAUCAUAUUUUUUUUAUCUUUAGUCAGAUCUAACACCUUUUGUACAACUUCAAUUGCCUCAAAUGAAAGCAUCAAAUAGUUUUCAAAAUAAUAAAGCAACUAUCCCAAAUGUAUAACCAUGAACUAUCUUGAAUAAAAUAUAUAAGAUGUGCACAUAUCAGAAGGAAAAUCGAAAGUCUGAGUAGAAAUGAAUUUGCUUGACUUGGCAACAACUAAUACAUUGUAGUUUAUUCUAUACAUUUUAAACUGAAGUGGAUAUGCUUGGGUUUUAGUAUUAUUGAUUGCCAAUAAUUGUAGAAUGUAUAUGCUGCAAAUAUUCUAGAUGCUAUAAAAUAGUGAAAAUUAGUGAUGAAGUACAACAUACUUGUUACAAAACUAACUUGGAACAUAUUUUAAUGACUGAUAGUUAAUGUGUGUAAACUAGGGAUGAUAGUUUUAGGUACACGAAGCGACAAAACCUAACAGCAACCACUUCGUAAAACCAUAUAUGGUUUGGGAUGGGUAGUGGGAUUUACAUUUAGGUCACCCGUUACAACUUACAUGCUACUCGUUUAGUAGGUACAAUUUUAUAAUUUAUAAUUUGUCAUAUAAUGUGCAGAUAUACAUUGUUAAAUUUCAAACUUGUGAACUCUUAAUAGUUAAUAGAGAAGCUCUAAAUAAAUCACAAAUUAUUUAAAUAUAUAUUUAUAUAGAAUAUCAUACUGUAUUAUAUAUUUUAUGUUGCAUUAUAUUAUAAAUGGGUACAGAAUGCCUCGGCUUAAUGGAUUAGAGGGACAGGAAUGGGUAGCAAAAUAAAUUGUAGCUAGGUUUAGAUAGGGAAACAAUUAAAGACGAAUAAUUUAAAAUCAGAGUAAAGUGAAUGAAUAAUUUCAAAAGCAAUGAAGGAGGUUAUAUAAGUUUCUCUAGCUCUUCUUAGUUAAUAUUUUGUUGUUGAUGAAUAUAUAUGUUUCCAAUGCUCUGUUUUUUUUAUGCUCAUAUAUGAAUGGGUACAGUAUGAUAGUAUUUUCUUUCAUAACUAUGGUAGAUUUUGAAAUCCAAUUAAUUUGCUACAGCUAAUUAAUUUAUAUCAUGUAGAGUAGUAGUAUACGAAUUUUUUAUAUGCCAAGAUGUAUAUAUACCUUAAAUCAAAAAAUCUUACUGAUAUGAGUUUUUUUAGAAUCACCACUUUUGUGAUGGAAAUUUUUAAAAGCUGUGCAAAAUGAUAGAACUCGAUUACGUAGAGGUUCAUUGACAUAGCAGUUGGAUCAACCAGGUUUUAGUCCUGAGUGCACAAGAAUGAGUUUGUUGUUUACUUCUUUAGAGAUGCGGGACCUGGGAAUGAUUGGAUCUCUUGUGAAUUCUUUGACAAUGCUGGAAACAUCUUCUGUUACUGCAUUUGCUAGAGAUUUUCAAUUCAGCCAACCAAUAUUUACAAUUUCAAUUUCUAAUUGAUGGCUAUUUCAUCAUUAAUUAAUGUGUAUUAAUACAUAUUCAUCUGUAUACUAACUCCCAAAUACGAUGGCAUGAAAACAUUUUCAAAUAUAUAUAUAUAUAUAUAUAUAUAUAUAUAUAUAUAUAUAUAUAUAUAUUUGCAUAUUUGAUAUAGUAAAAAAUAUAACAUGUUAUACUAAAUAUAUUGCAGAUUUAAAACCAUAUAAGGUGCUAAAUCAACAUACUCAAAAGAAAGGAGCAAGUAAAGUGGUUCAGUGUAACGUGGGGCUUGUAAAUGGGGGUUUAUGCUACAGGAGUCAUUAGCGACGUCUGUGUCGUCGCCAGUGAGGUCAUUCUCGACGGCGUGGCGUCUAUCGACAAUG